RNAcentral lists this ribosomal RNA (497 nucleotides) under uncultured bacterium. RNAcentral's name for it is "partial 16S ribosomal RNA". It matches the Rfam family "Bacterial small subunit ribosomal RNA", at positions 28 to 507 of the family's 1533-position model. The record is from RNAcentral.
GAUGAACGCUGGCGGCGUGCCUAAUACAUGCAAGUCGAGCGAACGGACGAGAAGCUUGCUCCUCUGAUGUUAGCGGCGGACGGGAGAGUAACUCGUGGAUAACCUACCUAUACGACUGGGAUAACUUCGGGAAACCGGAGCUAAUACCGGAUAAUAUUUUGAACCGCAUGGUUCAAAAGUGAAAGACGGUCUUGCUGUCACUUAUAGAUGGAUCCGCCCUUCAUCAGCUAGUGGGUAAGGUAACGGCUUAGCAAGGCAACGAUGCAUAGCCGACCUGAACGGGUGAUUCGCCACCCUGUCACUGAGACACGUCCCAGACUCCGACGCGAGGACGCAGCAGGGAAUCUUCCGCAAGGGAGCAGUGCCUGACGUAGCACCGUCGCCGGAGGGCUGAAGGUCUUCGGACCGUAGAGCUCUGUUAUUAGUGAAGAACAAAUGUGUAAGUACCUGUGCAGAUCUUGACGGUACCUAAUCAGAAAGCCACGGCUAACUACGUG